Molecule: long non-coding RNA, 1888 nt
Organism: Cryptomeria japonica (Japanese cedar)
Lineage: Eukaryota; Viridiplantae; Streptophyta; Pinopsida; Cupressales; Cupressaceae
Exons: 9
Source: RefSeq, a predicted model, not a curated record
AUAAUACAGCUGCAAUGCAUUGCGCAUUCACAUUGCUCACUCCUCCAACAUAUACAGCUAUCUCAGGUAUGAUAUGUCACUUUUAUUGCUUAGAAUGUACUCUGUUAACAAACUUUUAUACUAAUCAAUGUCAAUUAUACAAAGUUAUACACAAUAAAAACAAUGCUAUGCUUAGUAUGUUCUUUUUGACUGCAAAACAUCUGUUCCUCACCCCAUAAUUAAAUUUCUAAGUAUUUUAACACUAAAAUGAAUAUAUUUCUAAUCAGUUUAAAACUUUAUACAACUCGAACAUUUGUAACAGCUUUUAUCAAUCUCAUUGUUAGAGGAACUAUAUAUUAUACCUCUGAUAAGUUUUGUUACAAAAGUGUCUCUUCAAUUCAAAAGUUACUGCAACAACACAAGCAACUCUCCCAGCUACAGUACAUUGCCUCUCCAGUGCAAACCUUCUCAAUCAACCAUUCAGUCUAGAUUUCCUACUGCAAAUUGAAGGUAUGCAUACCUACCCAACACAUAUAGUUUACAUUCUCUUCUUUUUAUGUGGCCAUGUAAUUCUUUCAAGGCAUAUUCUAACAAAUCUUCAAAUAAAAUCAAUUAAUAAACAAACUUCUCUUUACCAUGCCACUUCAGUUGUUUUGGCACAUAAAUUGUAUAUAUGUUAAAUUUAAGAAACUAAUUCUAUUGCUUCUUUUUGUUGUAGAGAUACAUAUUAACAAAGAACCACAUACCCAUGCUUGGACACUUCUCACUUUUCAAGUUAGCACUGGUUGUAGCUAAAAAGUCUUCUCAAUGUCAAUUAUACAAAGUUAUACACAAAAAAAACAAUGCUAUGCUUACUCUGUUCUUUUUCCCUACAAAACAUCAACUUUCUAACUCUUUUAAAACUAAAAUGAAUAUAUUUCUAAUCAGUUUUAAACUUUACACUACUCAAACAUUUCUAGCAGCUUUUAUUAAUCUCGUUCUUAGAGCAUCUAUGUAUUAUCCUCUGAUAGCUUUUGUUACAAAAAUGUUUCUUCCAUUCAAAACUGACUGCUGCAACAUAAACAACUCACCCAGGAAGGAUGCAAGGCCCGCAACACACCAGGCAACCUGAGCCAAUCUCAAAGCCUCCAAUUUCCAUAUACCAGUUUUCAGGAUUAGACCAUAGCAGAGCAUGUCAACAUAUGAAGGUGACUUGGUGGCAAAAUGCUACUUUACAAAGCACAACACCUGUGUAUUAUCCUCUAGUGACUUUAGUUACAAAACUCUCUAUUCCAUUCAAAAGUCACUACUGCAACAUUAACAACUCACCCAGAGAUACAUAUUAACAGACAACAACAUACCCAUGAUUGCACUCCAUGUCGAUUACAACCAAACAUUUUCUGGCAAAACCUUUGACCGACCACACUAAAUCACCUUUCCUAUUUCACCAAUAUCCAUUCAUUUUGUUCCCCAUAUUUCAGAUUUAAAUAUCUCAAAUCUAUCACUGUGUUGCCCUUGUAAAAAUUGCAGACAACAAACAAAAAAAUUUAGGGUGUUUUCAAACUUCACUGCAUUCCAGAUUUAUGACACUAAUCAGGUCAGUUACAAAGUUAUACACACAAAAAAAAAUGCUAUACUUACUCUGUACUUUUUCUUUGCAAAACAUCAACUUUCUAACUCUUUUAACACUAAAAUAAAUAUAUUUCUAAUCAGUUUUAAACUUUACACUGUUCAAACAUUUCUAACAACUUUUAUUGAUCUCACUGUUAGAGCAUCUGUGUAUUAUCCUUUGAUAACUUUUGUUACAAAACUAUUUGUUCCAUUCAAAACUCGCUACUGCAACAUAAACAACUCACCCAGCUGUGAUUUCAACGGAAGGAUCCAAGGCCUGCAACACACCAGGCAACUUGAGCCAAUCUCAAAGCCUCCA